RNAcentral lists this ribosomal RNA (397 nucleotides) under Wilmottia murrayi. RNAcentral describes it as "partial 26S ribosomal RNA". It matches the Rfam family "Bacterial small subunit ribosomal RNA", at positions 400 to 824 of the family's 1533-position model. The record is from RNAcentral. Lineage: Bacteria; Bacillati; Cyanobacteriota; Cyanophyceae; Coleofasciculales; Wilmottiaceae.
CGUGAGGGAGCAGGCUCUUGGGUUGUAAACCUCUUUUCUUGGGGAAGAAAAAAUGACGGUACCCAAGGAAUCAGCAUCGGCUAACUCCGUGCCAGCAGCCGCGGUAAUACGGAGGAUGCAAGCGUUAUCCGGAAUUAUUGGGCGUAAAGCGUCCGCAGGUGGCACUUCAAGUCUGCUGUCAAAGACCGGGGCUUAACCCUGGAGAGGCAGUGGAAACUGAAGCGCUAGAGUGUCGUAGGGGUAGAGGGAAUUCCUGGUGUAGCGGUGAAAUGCGUAGAGAUCAGGAAGAACAUCGGUGGCGAAAGCGCUCUACUGGACGACAACUGACACUCAGGGACGAAAGCUAGGGGAGCGAAUGGGAUUAGAUCCCCCCCGAAAACGAUGGAUACUAGGUGUG